Molecule: long non-coding RNA, 1023 nt
Filed under: Homo sapiens (human)
Lineage: Eukaryota; Metazoa; Chordata; Mammalia; Primates; Hominidae
Description: testis expressed 41
Source: RNAcentral
GGCCUCCAUCUUGAAAACGGAAAAUAAAAACAGCAGACCUAUGAAGGUCGAAGGGGAAGAAAAGCUGUAUCGAUUGUUGAGAUCUGGCGACUUGUUUAAAUUUCAUCAGCCUCACUUCUAUGAACUCUCAGAGCUGAUUACCAACUCCUACCACUGUUAACCCUCAUCCAGGAACAAGCUUAUGUCUUUAACAUUCUGAGUGGGCUUCAGCAUCCUUGCAUAUGUUCAAUUCUUAAAAACCUGUUGAAAUAAAAGAUCAGGAGACAUAGGAAGGAUGCCAGAAGAGAGCGUGGCCUCACGUGUACCAGCUCUCUGCUCUCCUUUGCCUUGGGACGUUCCAUCCCUGGAAGUUUCCCUGCCCACAUCUUUGUAGAGAGUCCAUUCUCCAAGCUUCAGUGUGUCAUCUGUGAGGACCGUGACCCACCUGGUACAUCGCCUCAGGGCAUUCAUUUCAGGCUCCUUCUAAAUGGCCAAGUCUUCUGCCAGCCUAACAAGCAUAGCAAGAAGAUAUAGCCCCACAACCACUUUAUGCACAAAGUUAGAAGCAUAAAAUCUCAUGGAAGGAGACCGAUUAUCUACAGAAGAGGUUGUCUUGCCAUUUCUCUCAUGUUAGAGGUAAACCUCAGGUUCUCCUCCUGCCUUUUGCUAAGUAUAUGUCUUGAUGACAAGCCUUCUGCUGAUGAGCUGUGUUUCUGGACCGAUCAUGGUAGAAGUCAAUUAACGUGUCCCUCACUUGGGGUUUCUCAAGGUCAUCUAUGAACUGACUCUGUCUCAAAAAAAAAAAGAAAAAAAAGAAAAGAAAGAAUGAAAAAAAAAACUAGGACAUGGCUAACAGGAAUGGGGACAAAGAAUCUGCACUGAUGAGGAAACUGAAACAGAAAAUCCAGAGUAAAUUCCACCAGGCCACACAGCAAGGUCUGAUAGAGCCAGGAGAGACUUUAUGAAAUCCAGACUCUCACACUAAUGCUCUAUCAGCUAGACCUCCAUGUGAGUCUCCCCAAUGUAGGUAGGAAGUGCUUUCCC